RNAcentral lists this ribosomal RNA (537 nucleotides) under Echinodera atlasensis. RNAcentral's name for it is "partial 16S ribosomal RNA". It matches the Rfam family "Bacterial large subunit ribosomal RNA", at positions 1819 to 2625 of the family's 2925-position model. Lineage: Eukaryota; Metazoa; Arthropoda; Insecta; Coleoptera; Curculionidae. The record is from RNAcentral.
GGCUUUUUGAUGAUAAUUUAAGGUCUAACCUGCCCAGUGAUGAAGUAUUAAAUGGCCGCAGUAUUUUGACUGUGCAAAGGUAGCAUAAUCAUUAGUUUCUUAAUUAGGAGCUUGCAUGAAGGGUUUGAUGAAAAAAAAGUUGUCUCUGUUUUAGUUUUUUAGAAAUUUAUUUUUAAGUUAAAAAGCUUAAAUUUGUAUUAAAGACGAGAAGACCCUAUAGAGUUUUAUAUUUCAUAUAAUUAUUAUGUUUUAGGAUUAUUUUAGUAGUUUAAUGAGUUAUUUGAUUGGGGUGAUUUAAAAAUUAGCUAAACUUUUUAUGGUGAAUAUCAUUAAUUUAUGAACUUUUGAUCCUUAUUUGAAGAUUAACAGAUAAAAUUACCUUAGGGAUAACAGCGUAAUUUUUUUUAGAGUUCUUAUCGAAAGAAAGGAUUGCGACCUCGAUGUUGGAUUAAAAUUAAUUAUUGGUGUAGAAGCUAAUAUAUUUGGGUCUGUUCGACCUUUAAAUUUUUACAUGAUCUGAGUUUAAACCGGUGUGAG